GCCAACCAGCCUGAGGAUGUUACUCAGGUGUGGCUCCUCCUCUUGAUGAGUUUCACCUCCUCACCCAGGAAGUGGUUCUCCUGGAAGUCACAGAGAUGAGAGUCUGCGCGGGUAGAACCCAGGGCCUGCAGCUCCAAAGGGCCUGGUUAAGGCUCCUCUCCAAGGCCAGGGCGGCCUCCACAGGGUCCUGAGUUUUGCCCCCUCACCUUGGGAAGGCUUCAGCACGUCCUGGAAGAGAAUGUGGCCACCACACUUGCUUUGUAACUUUAAUAGAUGCUCAGCGCCCUCCAGCUUCUUCUCCACCAACUCAUGGAAGUGGCCCACGCCCUCAAGAGCCACAUCUGGGCUUGUAUUUUGACCUGGUCGAAAUAGAAGCCAGAGAGAGGUAGGUGUGGAGGCCCGCAGAUGCAGGUUGGCCAGGCAAUUGGCCACAGCCUCCACCUCGGUGUAAUAAUUCUGAUGAGUUUGGGAGCUCAUGGUUGUUCGGUAAUAAGGAGUUAAGGUAGAAAAAACAAAACAAACACACAAAAACACGGUCUUGGCUGGUCCCGGGUUUGAU
This is a long non-coding RNA of Pipistrellus kuhlii (Kuhl's pipistrelle), 559 nucleotides long. RefSeq lists it as uncharacterized. The record is from RefSeq and is a predicted model, not a curated record. Lineage: Eukaryota; Metazoa; Chordata; Mammalia; Chiroptera; Vespertilionidae. The transcript is spliced from 3 exons.